CAGCAGCCACGGUAAGACAGAGGAUGCAAGCGUUAUCCGGAAUGAUUGGGCGUAAAGCGUCUGUAGGUGGCUUUUCAAGUCCGCCGUCAAAUCCCAGGGCUCGACCCUGGACAGGCGGUGGAGACUACCAAGCUGGAGUACGGUAGGGGCAGAGGGAAUUUCCGGUGGAGCGGUGAAAUGCGUUGAGAUCGGAAAGAACACCAACGGUGAAAGCACUCUGCUGGGCCGACACUGACACUGAGAGACGAAAGCUAGGGGAGCAAAUGGGAUUAGAUACCCGUGUAGUCCCUGUCUCUUAUAA
Molecule: ribosomal RNA, 301 nt
Filed under: uncultured bacterium
Lineage: Bacteria
Description: partial 16S ribosomal RNA
Rfam family: Bacterial small subunit ribosomal RNA
Source: RNAcentral